UCCGUAGGGUGCGAGCGUUACUCGGAAUUACUGGGCGUAACGCGUGCGCAGGCGGUGAUGUAAGACAGAUGUGAAAUCCCCGGGCUCAACCUGGGAACUGCAUUUGUGACUGCAUCGCUGGAGUGCGGCAGAGGGGGAUGGAAUUCCGCGUGUAGCAGUGAAAUGCGUAGAUAUGCGGAGGAACACCGAUGGCGAAGGCAAUCCCCUGGGCCUGCACUGACGCUCAUGCACGAAAGCGUGGGGAGCAAACAGG
RNAcentral lists this ribosomal RNA (253 nucleotides) under uncultured bacterium. Its description in RNAcentral is "partial 16S ribosomal RNA". It matches the Rfam family "Bacterial small subunit ribosomal RNA", at positions 524 to 776 of the family's 1533-position model. The record is from RNAcentral.